AUAGCCUCAAAUAUAUAAGUGGUCUGAGUGGUUAGUAUAUGCUUCUUCAGAUACAAUACACAAACAAUCUCUCAAUAGGAGGACUCACUUGUAUGUCGAAGCUUACGAUGAAUGGAACCAGGGUGGUCAUGCUUAUGAUAGUUAUCCUUGCUUGUAACAAGAUUCAUUCGCAGUGUAAGUAGACGGUAACAAUCACGUGGAAUAUGAUAAAGCUUCAAUUGUAUCAAAAAUUAUUACAUAGAGUAUGAUCCCUCCUUGAAGAACCGCUAACACGAAAGCUUGUUGACAUGUCAUUGUUCUUUGCAUGUAGGUCGACCAAUUGAGCAAAUGAAUAACAUCAAGCUCCAAAUGUGCACAUGCUCACGGAGAAAAUCAGUUUACUGCUGUGACUUAGGAGGUCGUUGCUUUCGAGAUGAAUUACAAUGCAUAAAAGGUUGUGCUCCUGGAUGCAAGCAAUCUCGUACCUUGACAGAGCCAUGAGCAAGCACUACAUAUAAUUUAUCAUGAUAAAUUAUGUCAUGCCCAUCUUGAAAUAAAAUUAUGAGAUGUGAUCCUCUUAUGCCAGU
RNAcentral lists this long non-coding RNA (566 nucleotides) under Hordeum vulgare. Its description in RNAcentral is "long non-coding RNA (HVUL_LNC006638)". Lineage: Eukaryota; Viridiplantae; Streptophyta; Magnoliopsida; Poales; Poaceae. The record is from RNAcentral.